AUGAACGCUGGCGGCGUGCCUAAUACAUGCAAGUCGAGCGAACAGACGAGGAGCUUGCUCCUCUGACGUUAGCGGCGGACGGGUGAGUAACACGUGGAUAACCUACCUAUAAGACUGGGAUAACUUCGGGAAACCGGAGCUAAUACCGGAUAAUAUAUUGAACCGCAUGGUUCAAUAGUGAAAGACGGUUUUGCUGUCACUUAUAGAUGGAUCCGCGCCGCAUUAGCUAGUUGGUAAGGUAACGGCUUACCAAGGCAACGAUGCGUAGCCGACCUGAGAGGGUGAUCGGCCACACUGGAACUGAGACACGGUCCAGACUCCUACGGGAGGCAGCAGUAGGGAAUCUUCCGCAAUGGGAAAGCCUGACGGAGCAACGCCGCGUGAGUGAUGAAGGUCUUCGGAUCGUAAAACUCUGUUAUUAGGGAAGAACAAAUGUGUAAGUAACUAUGCGCGUCUUGACGGUACCUAAUCAGAAAGCCACGGCUAACUACGUG
This 494-nucleotide ribosomal RNA is filed under the name uncultured bacterium. RNAcentral's name for it is "partial 16S ribosomal RNA". It matches the Rfam family "Bacterial small subunit ribosomal RNA", at positions 29 to 507 of the family's 1533-position model. The record is from RNAcentral.